AACGCGAAGAACCUUACCCAGACUUGACAUGCACCGGACAGCGCCGGAGACGGCGCCUCCCUUCGGGGCCGGUGCACAGGUGCUGCAUGGCUGUCGUCAGCUCGUGCCGUGAGGUGUUGGGUUAAGUCCCGCAACGAGCGCAACCCUUAUCAUUAGUUGCCAGCACGUAAAGGUGGGAACUCUAAUGAGACUGCCCGGGUUAACCGGGAGGAAGGUGAGGAUGACGUCAAGUCCGCAUGGCCCUUAUGUCUGGGGCUACACACGUGCUACAAUGGCCGGUACAACAGGCAGCAAAACUGUGAAGUGAAGCAAAUCCCGAAAGCCGGCCCCAGUUCAGAUUGCAGUCUGCAACUCGACUGCAUGAAGAUGGAAUUGCUAGUAAUGGCGAGUCAGCAACAUCGCCGUGAAUACGUUCCCGGGCCUUGUACACACCGCUCGUC
This 440-nucleotide ribosomal RNA is filed under the name uncultured bacterium. RNAcentral describes it as "bacterial SSU rRNA". It matches the Rfam family "Bacterial small subunit ribosomal RNA", at positions 958 to 1398 of the family's 1533-position model. The record is from RNAcentral.